UCAGUCCUCACUUGUACUCUCUGCAGGAAAGGAUUUUUAUUCACUGCACUACGUCUGUUUGCCAUCCCUCCAUCACUGAGUCAUGUGAGCCCAGCUGUGGCAGCAGGACAAGAAGGUCCAUUUCC
This is a long non-coding RNA of Cyprinus carpio (common carp), 125 nucleotides long. RefSeq lists it as uncharacterized. The transcript has 3 exons. Lineage: Eukaryota; Metazoa; Chordata; Actinopteri; Cypriniformes; Cyprinidae. The record is from RefSeq and is a predicted model, not a curated record.